Regulatory RNA element from Clostridium tyrobutyricum DIVETGP, 98 nucleotides. It matches the Rfam family "Purine riboswitch aptamer". From Rfam's summary of the family: Riboswitches are metabolite binding domains within certain messenger RNAs that serve as precision sensors for their corresponding targets. Allosteric rearrangement of mRNA structure is mediated by ligand binding, and this results in modulation of gene expression. A class of riboswitches that selectively recognises guanine and becomes saturated at concentrations as low as 5 nM. Lineage: Bacteria; Bacillati; Bacillota; Clostridia; Eubacteriales; Clostridiaceae. The record is from Rfam.
AUAAAAAUUAAACACAUUACUUGUAUAAGCUCAUAAUGAGGUUGAGCGUUUCUACCAGCUGCCGUAAACAGUUGAUUAUAAGUAUGCUUAGAAAUUGG